This 726-nucleotide ribosomal RNA is filed under the name uncultured bacterium. RNAcentral describes it as "bacterial SSU rRNA". It matches the Rfam family "Bacterial small subunit ribosomal RNA", at positions 94 to 823 of the family's 1533-position model. The record is from RNAcentral.
AGCGGCGAACGGGUGAGUAAUACGAAGGGGAUCUGCCCAUCAGACGGGGACAACGAUUGGAAACGAUCGCUAAUACCGGAUAGGACGAAAGUUUAAAGGUGCUUCUGGCACCGCUGUUGGAUGAGCCUGCGGCGCAUUAGCUAGUUGGUAGGGUAAAGGCCUACCAAGGCGACGAUGCGUAGCCGACCUGAGAGGGUGAACGGCCACACUGGGACUGAGACACGGCCCAGACUCCUACGGGAGGCAGCAGUAGGGAAUCUUCGGCAAUGGGCGAAAGCCUGACCGAGCAACGCCGCGUGAAUGAUGAAGGCCUUCGGGUUGUAAAAUUCUGUUAUAAGGGAAGAACGACUUUAGUAGGAAAUGGCUAGAGUGUGACGGUACCUUAUGAGAAAGCCACGGCUAACUACGUGCCAGCAGCCGCGAUAAUACGUAGGUGGCGAGCGUUAUCCGGAAUUAUUGGGCGUAAAGAGCGCGCAGGUGGUUGAUUAAGUCUGAUGUGAAAGCCCACGGCUUAACCGUGGAGGGUCAUUGGAAACUGGUCGACUUGAGUGCAGAAGAGGGAAGUGGAAUUCCAUGUGUAGCGGUGAAAUGCGUAGAGAUAUGGAGGAACACCAGUGGCGAAGGCGGCUUCCUGGUCUGUAACUGACACUGAGGCGCGAAAGCGUGGGGAGCAAACAGGAUUAGAUACCCUGGUAGUCCACGCCGUAAACGAUGAGUGCUAAGUGU